This 3586-nucleotide long non-coding RNA is filed under the name Mytilus galloprovincialis (Mediterranean mussel). Lineage: Eukaryota; Metazoa; Mollusca; Bivalvia; Mytilida; Mytilidae. The record is from RNAcentral.
UAUGCUAGUACAUAUAUCGAUCGCACCUUGACUUAACAGGUGAAAAGCUUCCUGAUAGCCAUUUUGUUGAAGGUAUUAUUUCUGCUGGUUAAUUCAAUAUUCUUCAAAUUGAACGUCAAUUCAAGUCUUAAAAAUGACAAUGAUGCACACAUUUAAGAAUCGAAUGCUUAUUCUUGUAAAUUUAUUGAUUUUAAAAGCGUUUACCGAAGUACAUUUUGUAUGAAUGGCGAAAGCGCUUCAUUUUAAAAAUAUCCAUGAAAGUUCAAUUGAAGUAAAUGUAAGCAAUUAUAGGAAGCCGUAUUGUCGUCAACUUUUAGGAAACCCAAUAUCUUAUAGUCGUCUAUAACAGGCAUCGCAAUGAAAUGUAUUACACAAUUUAAACAAUAAAAACUCACGGCCUGAUUUAUAACUAAACAAUUUAUGAAAAACACAAAUGAAUGACAUAAAACUACGAAAACCACUGAACUACCGGUUCUCGACUUGGGACAGGCAUAUACAUAUUUUGACGGGACGAAACAUGUCUGCUAGCGCUCUAUCCUCUCCUAAGAUGAGACAGUGGUGUAACAGCACAACAUAAGAACAAACUAUAAAAAUCAGUUGGCAUUGGCUCAUGUUAAAAUGUAUGUUUAAGGCACAAAACCAAGUAGAACAAAAACAAUAGCACAGAGCACCGCGAAAACAGUUCCUUCUACUAAAGGAUUGUACAAAGCCAAUACCCACUAUCAAUAAAUUACGUUCUACCGGACUAAACUAUCAAACAAUACCAAUCCGUGGAUUAAGUAUGAAGACGUUAAAAACAGUCUAAUAAACGUCUGACCUGCUGCCAUUUUUCGGUGUGUGCCAAGGCACCGUGAUGAAGGCUGUACUUAAAUUUUAAAACUAAAAAAAACCCAAAAAACACUGUGACUUGCAUAGAGUUGUUUAGUUGACACAUUUACCACAUCUCCUUAUUCAUUUGUACUCCCAUUAAUCAAUCCCCGUUAUUGGUGUGAACGGCUUAUUUUCUUUUCCUUAUCGCUAGUUUUGUGAAUUGUCGGCUUUUUAUAUUAAAAUAAGCCGAUUUUGCAUGAUUCAUUUUGAAACAACAAUUUACAAGUUGGCAAAGAACAAACAUAAUGUCACCCUACAGCCUUCAACAAUGAAAAACACGUAUCGUAUAGUAAUUGAUAAACUGUCAAAUAAAACAGCCAUUUAAAUGUGAAAGCUAUAAAAAUAGAAAAACAAUGAACUCAUUUAUAUUCAAACAUCAACGGAAAACAAAUGAAGCAGACCUCUAUCAAUUGAACCACAUAAUCAAUAUUUGUCAUAUAAUGAAACCAUAUUUGUUUUCCAAACAAUUCUAUCAUCUCUAUUUCACAGACAAACUGUACUUGAACAAGUUCGUGUCCUAUAAAAUACCGCUUGUAUCAUGAAACUUUAAUAAAUUGAACACUCUUUCAAAAGACAGCUGAAUUCGUCUCAACUCAACCACGGUGUGGGAUUAUCACGAUGUUCAAUAGCAUCAUCGAAGCACAUUAAAGGCAAUUUGGUCAUAUCGUCUCAAAUCCCUAUCAACACAUUCAAUAGAGCAGGAAAGUUCCAUACGAACAAAGAAAAUCUUUAUGUGUAAAAUUUUGUAUCCACUUCUUUGGAAUUCAGUUGAAAAAAGUAACCAUAUUAUGGUCAUUUUAUAUGAAGAUGACACACUAUUUUUUUUUAAGAUAAAGCUUUUAAGAAGUUAGAAUUCACAAUAGCACAUUUUUAAAAUUAUUUUUAUUUUAGAAAUAACACAGCCAAAUACUGCGAACCGUGCACUGCACGGCGUAAGACUCAAGGCUUACAAUGGUGUACCGAAUGUGAAGAAGCACUGUGUUCCGAAUGUACAGAAGCUCACAAAGUUCAAAAAAUGUCUCGAAGUCACCAUUUGGUUGAAAUAGGUAAAAUACCAAACAAAAUUGAUUUAUCGUAUUAUUGUUCAAAACAUCAACAUUUGCCUUUUGAUUAUUUUUGUGUUGAUCAUGAUGUUAUUUGUUGUGAGGAAUGUUUGCCAAAAGAUCAUCGAGCAUGUAAGAACGUCACAUCAAUUGAUAUUGCGUCAAAGAAUUCUAAGCAGUCACAGUCAUUCCUGGACUAUAACGAACAGUUGAGCUUUAUUUCAGAUGCAUUAGAAAAAUUGAAAAAAAAUCGGAAGGAAAAUAGUAGUCGAAUAGAACUAGAAGAAAGUAAAAUAAGGAAAGAAAUAGCAAAAGCAAAAGAAAAUGUCAUCAAAGGCUUGGAAUCUUUAGAAAAGUCGCUUCUUAAACAACUAACCGAAUUGAAGGACAAAGCUAUGACUGGUAUUAAAGUUCAAGAGAAAGAUAUAGGUGAAUUAGUGACAUCAACAGAAGCCCAAAAGGAAGCUUUAGAAUUUAUAAGAGAUCAUGGUUCUGAGAAACAAACAUUUAUUUUAAUUCAUUCAUCUAAACCAAUCUUAGAUGAGAUUGAAAACAAAGUGAACCAGCUGAGAGAAUCGUUGGUAGACACCAGCCUAAGGUUUUUAGAAAAACACUCGAAAGAAUAUGUGACGGAUAUCGGUUCGAUAGAAUCGAAGGAAACUCCUAGUUCAGUUUCAAUUGUCCCUUACAAGCAGAGGCAGUCACCGGUUCCAAUUGUUCUGAAGCACAACAUUAGCUCGUUCACCUAUCUUCGUGACAUCGACAUGAAAGGAAAAAAGUUGAAUGGAGUAACUGGCAUCACAAUAUCAGAUGAUAAAAUAUUGAUUUUCUGUGAUAGUCUGUGUAAAGAAAAGGUAUAUUUUUGUGAUGAAAACGAUACCUAUCAAUCAUGUAUCAAUGCUAAAUAUAAACCAUGGGAUAUAACAGCUAUACCAGAAACAACCACAGCUGUUGUGUCUUGUAAAUCUACACCGUACAUACAGUUGAUAGAUAUAGAUAGACAGAAAAUAUUAAAGAAGAUAGAAGUGAAACAAGGUGAAUGUUAUGGUGUUGCUGCUACAAAAGAAAACAUAUAUAUCGGAACUAUAGGGAAAAUAUAUGUCCUAGACCUACGUGGAAAUUUCGUUAGAACAAUACAUUUGAAAAACGUAGAUCAUUACAUUAGUUACAUUUCCGUUUGCUCAAAUGGAAACAUCUGUUAUUCAACUUUCAAUGAAGUCCAAUGCAUUACGUCAGAUGGAGAACCUGUUUUCUCUUAUACUUCUCCCGAUCUUCGGCAUGCACGAGGUAUUCAAAUUGAUGAUGCUGGCAAUUUACUCGUCCUUGGACGGGAUAACAUCCAUAUUCUUACAUCUUCUGGAAUCUUAGUCGACAUUUUAUCACCAGAUAAUGUGUACAAUCCUCUUGCAUUUUAUUACAAUGAGAAACUAUCAAAAGUUUACAUUGCAAAUAAUUGUGGUAGAACACUAUCAGUAUUCAAGACGAAAUAGUAGUGAUGUCAACGGUUAACCAUGGGAAGGACCGAACAUCUAAUUCCAAAAACGCUAACCGGUUAAUCGGACUUGUGUUCAAUUCUAAUAGAUUUGAAAUAAAUGUGUAUUGAAAUCAUUGAAUAAUUUUGUUCUGCUUAAACAUUAUUGUCGUGUUAAUUUAUUUGACAGAUCAAUUGUCCA